Strigops habroptila (Kakapo) is the source of this 5926-nucleotide long non-coding RNA. RefSeq lists it as uncharacterized. The record is from RefSeq and is a predicted model, not a curated record. Lineage: Eukaryota; Metazoa; Chordata; Aves; Psittaciformes; Psittacidae. The transcript is spliced from 3 exons.
CCGGGUGGCCGGGAUGUCCCUCCGGGCCGGACCCCGCUCAGCGGCAGCGGCGGACGGGGGGCCGAGCCUGGCCCAGCCCGUGCGUUCUGAGUGCAGGGUCAGGGGCUGCAGAGCGGGAUUGUGUUGGUAAGCUCAGCUGUCCAUGGGUGCUUGCGUGAAGAUACAGUUUAGUUAAUGGUUAAUCUGUGGUGUUGGUUUUAAUAAUUUGAGUAUCUUUAAUUAUUUGCAGUACUUUGCCAGAUGCUUGCGGUAGGCACUUCUCAGUGAACACAAUAAUUAUUAGUAAAUAAUACAGCAUUUUUUCUGUACUUUGCUGUUGGGUGAGGAGGCAGUUUGAAACUCUUUUCUGAUGAUCAAGAAAAAACACUGCACUUCCCUUAACAGCACAUUUUGCACAUGUCUGUCUUUAAAAAUAGUAUGAAAAUGUAUGUAAAAGCCUUGUUUUACCUUCUUUACUGUAGCAAGAUGUAGGUGAUGUCUCACUUUUAUCGCUAAAUUUAGUUGAAACACCAGAAUUUCUCUGAAAUAAAGGUAUAGAAGAGAGAGGAUCAGAGCAUUCUAAAAACAGCUUCUAAAAAUCCCCAGUCAUUGCGUGACUUGUCUCCAUGUUACCUGUUAACUCAUCUAUUCAGAGAGAUUCUUUGAAUACGGACCUGGAGUGAACAGUUGCAUGGCCAUUAACCAGGCUGAAACACUCCACACAGAUGUAAUUCCUGUUCUUCCAGGUCCUAUUUCCAUCUUGUAUUUCAGUCACCUGAUUUUGCCCAAAUGCCCAUUGUAUAUUACUACACUGGUUGAUAAAUUCUAUGAGCUUAGUGAAGUUUUGACAUCAUUAUUUUGUCCUAUAUAUAUUCAGAGGCAUCUCAUAUGUAUAGACAGAACAUUACCCACAGAUUAGAGUUCACGUCCCAGCUGCUAUGGCAGCACAAUGCUGAGAGUGAUGCCUGCCCUUCAGUUAUACCCAUUUAUUAGUAUUUUUGCAGAUUUUGUAAUGAAAUGUGAAAUAAAGCAUAUAUAAACACCAAAAGGACACAAAAUAAAAGCAGUGCACAGCUAUGUGUGUUUGGUGAUCACCACAUCACCAUUAGGACCAGCUGGCAAACCUGUUAAUACCUGUUUCAUUCAGCUCUCAUUACGAUAGAUAGAAGGCAUCUCCUAACAGAUGACUAUUUUACACCUAAGGGCAGUUGAUGGAGGAAUUUCUGUGUUGUGUGGGCACUGUCGCAUUCUUGUCCUCCCUGCUUCAGUCAAAAUGAUAAUAAAGAUUAUUACUUGGGAAAAAAAAAAUGCUGAAAGGAGUUAGAAUAUUACUGAGAGAGGAAAUGACCUACAGGAUGGUUUGUCCUGUGCAAGAGCGAUCAACUGCGAUAGCAUCAGCCAUUCCGAAAGGAAAGCAAGCGGCAUGUCUGGGGGGGAUGACCCGUCCUGCUUUUCAAAGUGGCGUCUGAGGAUAAGCUACAAUGGAUCCAGCAGUUCAGCCUCAACUGUGUUUGAAAUACACAGCCAGAAGUCAACGCUAGGGAAAACUGUUAUUUCAUUAAAAGGAAACCCCCCAAGGUGGAAGGAGUAGAUGGCUUAUUUAAUCGAUAUUGGAGGCAAAGUGGUACCCUUGAAAAGGGCAAAACCCCUUUACAAACCAAAGCAGUUACAUCAUGAAUAUGAAGAGUCAAAGACAGAGAAGAUUAACUCUGUCCGUGCAGCAAACACACUGCUUUGCUAUGAACAAACAUAUUUCUGUAUCUCGGAAGGAGUUGCUGCUACCCUUGAUUCAGAUCAAGGUCUAAGUCCUGAAAUUGUUUGUUACUCUAAGCACAUGAAGAGGCCCCACAGGAACCAUUCACAUGUGAAAAGAGCUAGGCCCAGAGCCAAAGUGUUGCAUACUGUGAAGGUCAAGCCUGCUUCCUUUCUAAAACUUGCACUUAACAGGAAAACUCUCAGAAAUAUGGUUUCCAUAGAGCACCUUUGGCUCAUUCUUCAGGAUGCUGGAUGAAGUCUGCGCACUAGCAGGUCCCUGUGACUGUGGUGCUGGGUGCCGUGGAGGCAGGCUGCGGCCUUGCAGAACAGGGGGUGGCCCUGCCUUUCCCUGAUUGCAAUUCCUGUGGUUCCUCUUCCCACAGACACUGAUUUUUUUUAUAAACUUCUCAAAAUGUAAGGAGAAAAGUCUCAUAGAUACUAUACAACUAUUGGCUCUACAGUCAUAAAAAUGCACUGCCUGUAGGACGAAUUCUCAGCAUUUUUGCAAAGGUCACUUGAAAUAUAUUGCAAGAGUGGCCUUCCUUUGGUCACCCAGAUAAGUCAUGGAGAGGCCACUGUAGAUGACAGUCUCAAAGAAAGAUCAUAAUUCACUUUUAUGUCUCUAUGCAAGAAAAUAAGAGACACAAGCCUUCCCUUCCCUACUGGGAAUGGGGCAUGUGUGGAAGCCGGUGCAGGGAACAAAAAAGAGCUACUUUCACCCGCCUGACAGAUAAGGUUGGAGGUCUGUCCCUCCUGAAGGCCUCACAUAGUGCUGCUUUAUUUCUUUUUUCCUGUCAGAGCAAUAGAAAAACUCAGAAAACAAAUUGCAACUGCAUUGUACCACAUCUUUUACCAGGAUUUUGCCUCAAUCCCAAGUAAGAGUUUUAUUCUCCAUAUACUUAUGUGAACAGUAGUUUCUUUCUCUUCCUUUUUGCUCCUUCCCAUUUACGGGAAAUGUAAAAUAAAUCCCAUUUGGGAUCUUUGAGCUCUAGCACUGUUUUUACUCCUGCUUCUCAAUAAUGGAAAUUCCCAAGUUUCACCUUCUGUAGGAGCAACGUUUAUCUAUGUCGCACCGUGCUUCAUAAAUGCCAAUUGACACUGCAUCUGGGCUUGGUAAUGAACAGGAACACAAUCAGUGGGGCUCAGAGUCUCCCAUUUUGCAGUGGUCUACAUAUCUACUAUAUAGCUACUGAUAAUACAUAGGAAGUUCAGACUGUGUUACUUUUAGAAGGGUCAUGAUUUCUAAAUACACACAUUUUGGAAGGAGAGCCAAGCACAGAGGCAUUUAUAGUCUAGCAGGGCUAUUGCAAGAACAAUUACAAUAUGGAGCUUUGGAGGUCCAGUACCUAACAGCGGGGGGUAGAACAUACUAAUUUUAUUAUCAUCUCGGCUGUCAAGUGACAAUGGUUUUUAAAUGUCAUGAAUUAUGUAUAAAAUACAUUAUUUUUUCUACUGCACAUUUGGUGAGUUCACACACAUGUACUGAAAGGGCAUGGCUUCGGCUCGGGUGCGCAAGACGAGAUGUCAGAAAGACUCAAAAUGGAACUUAGAGCACAAGCAGGAGCUUAUGCACCCCAUUCCAUGCUUGAUUACAUGUGUCAGGAGCUAUGAUAUCAAUGACAAUGCAGGUGAUAUUGUAAGACGACCUAAGUAAGAUAAAAAUCAGGCCGAGUCUUUAACCUAGGAAUUAAUGAAAUACCUUUUGUCAACUGUCCUUGAUAACAGGAAAUUACUUCAUAAAAAUCCACAGAAACUGUUCACUUACUUAAAUUAAUUUUGCAAACUUAACAAGUGUUAUGCUGUGCUGUUCUCUGCAUCUUUUAAGAGUGUUUGGGAAUUUAUGUCUUGCAAAAUAGAAACAAACUAAGAAAGCUGAAAUAUAUUGUGUCUUUUGCUGUACUUUACAGCACAGCUUGUGUUUAAGAAUCAGUCUAGACAUGCAAAAAUGCUAGAAUAAACAAUAUUUUUUUCAUUAUUUUAAAUUAGCUUGUACUGGAAAGCUAGAAAUUUCAGAAUGAUGCACACUAACAGCAUUGCAUAUCUCGUCAAAUAUUCAAAACAAAAGAGACUGAAAGACUAUUCUGUUACCUGCCAUUAUAAAUACAAAUUUCCUUCCAAGUUAAUGCAGUUACAAGCGAUCUCCUAUAAAAGAAAAAAUACACAUAAACCUUCAGGAUAUUUUACAGGAUAUUCCACUGAGUAGUAUGAAAAGUCAUAUCCUCCCUUACUUUAGUGACUUGUUUAACCCAUUUUAACAUAUAAACAUUAUUAAAUGUUAUUUAAUAUUCAUUAUGGGGCUUCAAAUAUUGGUUGGUCUUCAAUAAAUAUUUUUCUUUAUUCUCCUUUCAGUUGCAUUGUGUGUGCAAUUAAAGAAUAAUCAGCUGGAGCCAGGAUUGAGGUUUUGAAUGCAGAAGUGAGCUGGUUAUUCUGGAGAGCAAUGAUGGAAGUGGUCAUGCUAAGGUAUUUGAAAUGGAGAGAAGACUCUGAGAUGCUAUUGUUAGUGAAAAUGAAAAUGACAGUUGCACACAAUGAAGUGGUUGUACCUGGAUCACCUUGUGACAUUCUGUCUCACUGCAUCACGAACAGACAUGAAGAAUUUAUUUCGGGACGGAUUCGGGUGAUUUCGUACAGCAAGCAUCUGUAUGUAGUCGGCUGCAUUUCCCAUAGCAGAAUCACUAGAGGGAGUUCUAGGCAACGUUACUCCUUCACGAUCUCCAAUUGCUCUGCAACGACAAAAUUAGGAAAGGUUUCUGAUAAUAUUUACCAGGAAAAAUACACGAUAAUUUUCAUCACUAUAAUUUUAUUUCACUGCCUAGUUACUGAUUAUUUAUGAAGCUGGUUUAACCUCACAAGUUACCUGUCGCAAAUCAUCAUCUUGCUUAACAACCACAACAAACCAGCAAGAAAAACAUCCCACACAAGGCUUUACAUUAACAUAUUUCUCAAUUAGGAUUAAGAAGCACAGAUGCAAUGUUGAUAACAUACUCACAGGAAUUUUAGAGCAAACAGCAAAAGAAAAAUAAGAUAAAAGUAAAUAUUAGUUAAAAAUAUACUGAUCAGUCAUGUUUAAGUAAGACUUAGGCACCUUUGUCUAGUUCAGCCUAGCCUAGGACUUCUUUCCUCUUGGAUUUAAAAUGUAGAUUUCAGUGCAGUAGAAGAAAACCAGUUUUAUUCAAGUUUUAUAGCACUGUUGUUGUUGCCAAAGGAAGAAAAUGCUUGAUGGGGAAAAAUAAAACAGAGUGUUUGUUGUCCUAGACCAUUCCCAUGUUGAAACCAAGUUGUCAGCUCCAUCAUUUCUCAAAACUGAGGAAUUUGAGGGGAGAACCAAAAGAGAUUAAAAAUUGUUCUUAUCCUUACUCCUAGUAAUCUUGGAAUAAACCAAAAUAAUAUGCAGAACUCUACAGUGACAGAUUGCAGAUAAUGCAUUGAUUUAUAGUAAGACAACUGACAGAAACAAUUGUUUGUUUUUCUUAACACAUGGUUAUUAUUUUUCAUAACUAGUAGCUGCCAAUAUAGCCUAAAGGUCUUAAAUUCCCAUUUAUCCAGUGAAAUGACUGUGUACUCCAUUCCAGAGUGUCAUAAUAAACAUAAUUUAAAUAAACAAGCGACUUUGUACUUAGGGUACAUUAUAGUGAAGCCCAGCUUGCUCUCAAAAGCUGGCUACUUAUGCCUAUGAUUUGAAAAGCACAUGAGACAAGAACACAGAAGUGCCAUUUUCUUAGGUGGCUUUCAUGUGUAUGAUUAAAAUAUAUACGUGUGAUUAGCUGUACCACUAUGGCAGUUAUGGCUGUGUUUUCUUUUAUACAGACAUAAUGAUGUAAUAAAAGGUCUAGCAGUUGAUCAGGUGCAGAAAGGAUUUAUGUAAGAUUUUACCCUCCUGAACUCUUAUAACUAUUUUUAAACUGAUUUUAGUCAAUGAGUUUUAGGUUUUGCCACUUCAACUGUAUCAGUAUAAAUUGCAAACCUUGAGCAUGGAAGCACCCUAAGUUUCAUGAAGUCUCUCUGAAAAGUAACUGAAAAAUAAAGCCAGGACCACAGGGUGCCAGAAUCAAUCAUCACUGAUGUUCAAAAUUGUUUGACAAAGAAAUUAGACAUCAAGAGACUGAAAAAAACCCCAACCUAUUAAACCCAUAGAUGAUACAAGAGCAAUAAAUCUUUACACAUGUAAAGCAUACAUCCCUAGAGGACAUAC